This 431-nucleotide ribosomal RNA is filed under the name uncultured bacterium. Its description in RNAcentral is "bacterial SSU rRNA". It matches the Rfam family "Bacterial small subunit ribosomal RNA", at positions 29 to 506 of the family's 1533-position model. The record is from RNAcentral.
GUGAACGCUAGCGGCGCGCCUAACACAUGCAAGUCGAACGGGUUUAGACCCGUGGCAGACGGCUGCGUAACACGUUGGAACCUUCCCCGAACUCAGGGAUAACCCCGCGAAAGCGGGACUAAUACCGGAUACACUCGCAAGAGGAAAGAUUUUUCGGUUUGGGAGGGGCCUGCGGCCUAUCAGCUCGUUGGUGAGGUAACGGCUCACCAAGGCAAUGACGGGUAGGGGAUGUGAGAGCAUGAUCCCCCAGAAUGGAACUGAGAGACGGUCCAUACUCCUACGGGAGGCAGCAGUGAGGAAUCUUCCGCAAUGGGCGAAAGCCUGACGGAGCGACGCCGCGUGAAGGAUGAAGGCCUUUCAGGUCGUAAACUUCUGUUCUGAGGGACGAAAUUUUUGACGGUACCUCAGGAGAAAGCAUCGGCAAACCCUGU